UGAGGAAUAUUGGUCAAUGGCCGGAAGGCUGAACCAGCCAUCCCGCGUGCAGGAUGACGGCCCUAUGGGUUGUAAACUGCUUUUGUACCUGAAGAAACCUGUUUACGAGUAGACAGUUGCCGGUAAGGUAUGAAUAAGCAUCGGCUAACUCCGUGCC
RNAcentral lists this ribosomal RNA (157 nucleotides) under uncultured bacterium. Its description in RNAcentral is "partial 16S ribosomal RNA". It matches the Rfam family "Bacterial small subunit ribosomal RNA", at positions 355 to 509 of the family's 1533-position model. The record is from RNAcentral.